AUUGUCGAGAGGUGAAAUUUAGUUGAAGAAGAAAACAAUUACUUAAAGGGAAAAAUAAAAAAAUUGAGGAGGAGAAGAUGAUAUUGGAGUUGCAUGUUGCGGAUGUCGUCGAUAAUCACAAGCUCAAGAUGGAUGCAAUGCGGUUGAAGAUUAGAAAGAUUAGAAAAUAUGCCGUUCAUACCGAGGCUUGGUAUCAUUAUGCCGUUGGAUCAAUUGUUACCUUGGUUGUGAUUAUGAUCGCAUUUGUUGUUGCAUUGAAAGGUUUUACAUAGUUUUAAUGUAUGGUUUAACUAGAUGCUCUGGAGAGCUAUAUGUUGUUCAAUGAGAACUAUGUAUGUACUUUGUUUUUAAUGUGAUGAUGAACUUCUAUUAAUUUGGUCAUUUAUCUAUCCAUGUGAAUCUGUAAUGGUUUUUGACACACAUAAUUAUAUAUAAUGCACGCAGUGCAUCUAGUUUUUGUCGUAACCCUCUCAACUUUUUUGCACAUGCUAUGUGGGUGAAAUGAUGAUACCAUGCCAACUUUCAACCUUUUCAGAGUUCAUUUGAAAUGCUUUUGAAUUUCAGGGUCUUAUAGCUCAAAAAAUCAGUAAAUGCAUGAAAAAUAACAAAUGAAGUCAGAAAGGGUUGAAAAUUGAUGAUGUGGCUGUGAAUGGUACAUUUUGAACACACAAAAAGUCUGGAGUUCAAAUAAGUUCAAAAAAAUGAAAUCCCUUUGUAACAGAUGAGUUUCCCUAUGAAAUCGUGAUACUUCGAAAGAGAUUGUCCGUUUUGUACACAAAGUGCAUCUAGUUUUUGCCAUAACCCUCUCAACUUUUUUGCACAUGCUAUGUGGGUGAAUGAUGAUACCAUGCCAACUUUCAACCUUUUCAGAGUUCAUUUGAAAUGCUUUUGAAUUUCAGGGUCUUAUAGCUCAAAAAAAUCAGUAAAUGCAUUCAAAAUAACAAAUGAAGUCAGAAAGGGUUGAAAAUUGAUGAUGUGGCUUUGAAUGGUGCAUUUUGAACACACAAAAAGUCUGGAGUUCAAAUAAGUUCAAAAAAAUGACAUAUCAGCGGAGAAGCAGCGCAGCAAGGGACGUUCGUUCCAGACAGAGAGAACGACGAGCUCACAAUGGCCCUCGGGAAUCCUGAGCACCCUGGACGGACACGAGGCACGCCAGGCUCCGUUCUGUACAAGGUUGGGUUUUCGAACACAGGCGGUUACAAAUGCCAGGAGAGGAGGAAGAAAGUGGAGUAGACCCAACUGCAGGCGCUGCACGCAAGGGUACAAGCGAUAGAGGAACGAGAAGCCGCUCGCAGCAAGCGACCUGCCAAAGCUACCCCCGAAGCUACCCCGCCAUCUCAGCGGAGAAGCAGCGUGGCUUCCACCGAGCUGCUUCAGCUGGAGCCUGUCUUCACGGCUCCUGCUAGCUACCCCGUGGAUGCUAUCAUGGAGUCUCAACAUUGCCACCUUAUGACGCAAUGGCAGAACUUCAAAGUCAAGGCGAUUGUCGGCUCUGUUCGACCUCCUGAACCCGGCGCAACUUUUCACUGCCAUCCAAUUCUAGAAGGAUAUGCUAGGGUGACGGUGGACGAAAUAACGGAGGGAUUUAAGGACCUUGAGCUUGACCACCCUACCGGUGAAGGGGAGACUCGGCUGGGUUCUGCUCUGAAGACUCCAUGCCUAUGGCGGAAGGAGCUCAUCAACCUUCCGAACUGGACGCCUCCGCCUCCUCCUCCUCCUCCUCCUCCAGCGAGUCAGUGUAGGGGAUCGUAGCAGAACUUUAAAAUUUUCUACGCAUCACCAAGAUCCAUCUAUGGAGUUUACUAGCAACGAGAAGGAAGGAGUGCAUCUACAUACCCUUGUAGAUCGCGAGCGGAAGCGUUCAAGUGAACGGGGUUGAUGGAGUCGUACUCGUCGUGAUCCAAAUCACCGAUGACCGAGCGCCGAACGGACGACACCUCCGCAUUCAACACACGUAGGGAGCAGCGAAGUCUCCUCCUUCUUGAUCCAGCAAGGGGGAAGGAGAGGUUGAUGGAGAUCCAGCAGCACGACGGCGUGGUGGUGGAAGUAGCGGGGAUCCCGGCAGGGCUUCGCCAAGCGCAAGCGGGAGGGAGAGGUGUCACGGGAGGGAGAGGGAGGCGCCAGGGGCUAGGUUACUGCUGCCCUCCCUCCCCCCCACUAUAUAUAGGGGUCCUGGGGGGGCGCCGGACCCCUGGAGAUCCCAUCUGAGGGGGGCGGCGGCCAAGGGGGUGGCUUGCCCCCCAAGCCAAGUGGGGCGCCCCCCACCCCCAGGGUUUCCAACCCUAGGCGCAGGGGAGGCCCAAGGGGGGCGCACCAGCCCACCAGUGGCUGGUUCCCCUCCCCACUUCAGCCCAUGGGGCCCUCCGGGACAGGUGGCCCCACCCGGUGGACCCCGGGACCCUUCCGGUGGUCCCGGUACAAUACCGAUAACCCCCAAAACUUUCCCGAUGGCCGAAACUGGACUUCCUAUAUAUAAUUCUUCACCUCCGGACCAUUCCGGAACUCCUCGUGACGUCCGGGAUCUCAUCCGGGACUCCGAACAACUUUCGGGUUUCCGCAUACUAAUAUCUCUACAACCCUAGCGUCACUGAACCUUAAGUGUGUAGACCCUACGGGUUCGGGAGACAUGCAGACAUGACCGAGACGACUCUCCGGUCAAUAACCAACAGCGGGAUCUGGAUACCCAUGUUGGCUCCCACAUGUUCCACGAUGAUCUCAUCGGAUGAACCACGAUGUCGAGGAUUCAAUCAAUCCCGUAUACAAUUCCCUUUGUCAAUCGGUACGUUACUUGCCCAAGAUUCGAUCGUCGGUAUCCCAAUACCUCGUUCAAUCUUGUUACCGGCAAGUCACUUUACUCGUACCGUAAUGCAUGAUCCCGUGACCAGACACUUGGUCACAUUGAGCUCAUUAUGAUGAUGCAUUACCGAGUGGGCCCAGAGAUACCUCUCCAUCAUACGGAGUGACAAAUCCCAGUCUCGAUCCGUGCCAACCCAACAGACACUUUCGGAGAUACCCGUACUGCACCUUUAUAGUCACCCAGUUACGUUGUGACGUUUGGUACACCGAAAGCACUCCUACAGUAUCCGGGAGUUGCACGAUCUCAUGGUCUAAGGAAAUGAUACUUGACAUUGGAAAAGCUCUAGCAAACGAACUACACGAUCUUUGUGCUAUGCUUAGGAUUGGGUCUUGUCCAUCACAUCAUUCUCCUAAUGAUGUGAUCCCGUUAUCAAUGACAUCCAAUGUCCAUAGUCAGGAAACCAUGACUAUCUGUUGAUCAACGAGCUAGUCAACUAGAGGCUCACUAGGGACAUGUUGUGGUCUAUGUAUUCACACAUGUAUUACGAUUUCCGGAUAACACAAUUAUAGCAUGAACAAUAGACAAUUAUCAUGAACAAGGAAAUAUAAUAAUAACCAUUUUAUUAUUGCCUCUAGGGCAUAUUUCCAACAGUCUCCCACUUGCACUAGAGUCAAUAAUCUAGUUACAUUGUGAUUAAUCAAACACCCAUAGAGUUCUGGUGUUGAUCCUGUUUUGCUCUAGGGAGAGGUUUAGUCAACGGAUCUGCUACAUUCAGGUCCGUAUGUACUUUACAAAUAUCUAUGUCUCCAUUUUGAACACUUUCACGAAUGGAGUUGAAGCGACGCUUGAUAUGCCUGGUCUUCCUGUGAAACCUGGGCUCCUUGGCAAGGGCAAUAGCUCCAGUGUUGUCACAGAAGAGAGUCAUCGGGCCCGACGCAUUGGGAAUCACCCCUAGGUCGGUAAUGAACUCCUACAUCCAGAUUGCUUCUUGCGCUGCCUCUGAGGCCGCCAUGUACUCCGCUUCACAUGUAGAUCCCGCCACGACGCUUUGCUUGCAACUGCACCAGCUUACUGCCCCUCCAUUCAAAAUAUACACGUAUCCGGUUUGUGACUUCGAGUCAUCCAGAUCUGUGUCGAAGCUAGCGUCGACGUAACCCUUUACGACGAGCUCUUCAUCACCUCCAUAAACGAGAAACAUAUCCUUAGUCCUCUUCAGGUACUUCAGGAUAUUCUUGACCGUUGUCCAGUGUUCCAUGCCGGGAUUACUUUGGUACCUUCCUACCAAACUUACGGCAAGGUUUACAUCAGGUCUGGUACACAGCAUAGCAUACAUAAUAGACCCUAUGGCUGAGGCAUAGGGGAUGACACUCAUCUUUUCUCUAUCUUCUGCCGUGGUCGGGCAUUGAGCCGUGCUCAAUUGCACACCUUGCAAUACAGGCAAGAACCCCUUCUUGGACUGAUCCAUAUUGAACGGGUACGUACUCUGUGAAAGACCAAUGAGGCGUCUUGAUCUAUCUCUAUAGAUCUUGAUGCCUAAUAUAUAAGCAGCUUCUCCAAGGUCCUUCAUUGAAAAACACUUAUUCAAGUAGGCCUUUAUACUUUCCAAGAAUUCUAUAUCAUUUCCCAUCAAUAGUAUGUCAUCCACAUAUAAUAAUAGAAAUGCUACAGAGCUCCCACUCACUUUCUUGUAAACACAGGCUUCUCCAUAAGUCUGUGUAAACCCAAACGCUUUGAUCAUCUCAUCAAAUCGAAUGUUCCAACUCCGAGAUGCUUGCACCAGCCCAUAGAUGGAGCGCUGGAGCUUGCAUACCUUGUUAGCAUUCUUAGGAUCGACAAAACCUUCCGGCUGCAUCAUAUACAAUUCUUCCUUAAGAAAGCCGUUAAGGAAUGCCGUUUUGACGUCCAUUUGCCAUAUCUCAUAAUCAUAGAAUGCUGCAAUUGCUAACAUGAUUCGGACGGACUUCAGCUUCGCUACGGGUGAGAAAGUCUCAUCGUAGUCAACCCCUUGAACUUGUCGAUAACCCUUAGCGACAAGUCGAGCCUUAUAGAUGGUCACAUUACCAUCCGCGUCUGUCUUCUUCUUAAAGAUCCAUUUAUUUUCUAUGGCUCGCCGAUCAUCGGGCAAGUCAGUCAAAGUCCAUACUUCAUUUUCAUACAUGGAUCCUAUCUCGGAUUUCUUGGCUUCUAGCCAUUUGUCGGAAUCCGGGCCCGCCAUCGCUUCUUCAUAGUUCGAAGGUUCACCGUUGUCUAACAACAUGAUUUCCAUGACAGGGUUGCCGUACCACUCUGGUGCAGAACGUGUCCUUGUGGACCUACGAAGUUCAGCAGUAACUUGAUCUGAAGCUUCAUGAUCAUCAUCAUUAACUUCCUCCCCAGUCGGUGCAGGCACCACAGGAACAUCUUCCCGCGCUGCGCUACUUUCCGGUUCGGAAGGGGUGACUAUCACCUCAUCAAGUUCCACUUUCCUCCCACUCACUUCUUUCGAGAGAAACUCUUUCUCCAGAAAGGACCCAUUCUUGGCAACAAAGAUCUUGCCUUCGGAUCUGAGGUAGAAGGUAUACCCAAUGGUUUCCUUAGGGUAUCCUAUGAAGACGCAUUUUUCCGACUUGGGUUCGAGCUUUUCAGGUUGAAGUUUCUUGACAUAAGCAUGGCAUCCCCAAACUUCUAGAAAUGACAGCUUAGGUUUCUUCCCAAACCAUAAUUCAUACGGUGUCGUCUCAAUGGAUUUCGACGGAGCCCUAUUUAAAGUGAAUGCGCCAGUCUCUAAAGCAUAGCCCCAAAAUGAGAGCGGUAGAUCGGUAAGAGACAUCAUAGAUCGCACCAUAUCCAAUAGAGUGCGAUUACGACGUUCGGACACACCAUUUCGCUGAGGUGUUCCAGGCGGCGUGAGUUGUGAAACUAUUCCACAUUUCCUUAAGUGUGUGCCAAAUUCGUGACUUAAAUAUUCCCCUCCACGAUCUGAUCGUAGGAACUUUAUUUUUCUGUCACGUUGAUUCUCAACCUCACUCUGAAAUUCCUUGAACUUUUCAAAGGUCUCAGACUUGUGUUUCAUUAGGUAGACAUACCCAUAUCUACUCAAGUCAUCAGUGAGAGUGAGAACAUAACGAUAUCCUCCGCGAGCCUCAACACUCAUUGGACCGCACACAUCGGUAUGUAUGAUUUCCAAUAAGUUGGUUGCUCGCUCCAUUGUUCCGGAGAACGGAGUCUUGGUCAUCUUACCCAUGAGGCAUGGUUCGCACGUGUCAAAUAAUUCGUAAUCAAGAGACUCCAAAAGUCCAUCUGCAUGAAGCUUCUUCAUGCGUUUGACACCAAUGUGACCAAGGCGGCAGUGCCACAAGUAUGUGGGACUAUCGUUAUCAACUUUACAUCUUUUGGUAUUCACACUAUGAAUAUGUGUAACAUCACGUUCGAGAUUCAUUAAGAAUAAACCAUUGACCAGCGGGGCAUGACCAUAAAACAUAUCUCUCAUAUAAAUAGAACAACCAUUAUUCUCGGAUUUAAAUGAGUAGCCAUCUCGAAUUAAACGAGAUCCUGAUACAAUGUUCAUGCUCAAAGCUGGCACUAAAUAACAAUUGUUGAGGUUUAAAACUAAUCCCGUAGGUAAAUGUAGAGGCAGCGUGCCGACGGUGAUCACAUCGACCUUGGAACCAUUCCCGACGCGCAUCGUCACCUCGUCCUUCGCCAGUCUCCGCUUAUUCCGCAACUCCUGUUUUGAGUUACAAAUAUGAGCAACCGCACCGGUAUCAAAUACCCAGGAGCUACUACGAGUACUGGUAAGGUACACAUCAAUUACAUGUAUAUCACAUAUACCUUUGGUGUUGCCGGCCUUCUUGUCCGCUAAGUAUUUGGGGCAGUUCCGCUUCCAGUGACCACUUCCCUUGCAAUAAAAGCACUCAGUCUCAGGCUUGGGUCCAUUCUUUGACUUCUUCCCGGCAACUGGCUUACCGGGCGCGGCAACUCCCUUGCCGUCCUUCUUGAAGUUCUUCUUACCCUUGCCUUUCUUGAACUUAGUGGUUUUAUUCACCAUCAACACUUGAUGUUCCUUUUUGAUCUCCACCUCCGCUGAUUUCAGCAUUGAAUAUACCUCAGGAAUGGUCUUUUCCAUCCCCUGCAUAUUGAAGUUCAUCACAAAGCUCUUGUAGCUUGGUGGAAGCGACUGAAGGAUUCUGUCAAUGAUCGCGUCAUCCGGGAGAUUAACUCCCAGCUGAGACAAGCGGUUGUGUAACCCAGACAUUUUGAGUAUGUGCUCACUGACAGAACUAUUUUCCUCCAUUUUACAACUGAAGAACUUGUCGGAGACUUCAUAUCUCUCAACCCGGGCAUGAGCUUGGAAAACCAUUUUCAGCUCUUCGAACAUCUCAUAUGCUCCAUGUUUCUCAAAACGCUUUUGGAGCCCCGGUUCUAAGCUGUAAAGCAUGCCGCACUGAACGAGGGAGUAAUCAUCAGCACGUGAUUGCCAAGCGUUCAUAACGUCUUGGUUCUCUGGGAUGGGUGCUUCACCUAGCGGUGCUUCUAGGACAUAAUCUUUCUUGGCAGCUAUGAGGAUGAUCCUCAGGUUCCGGACCCAGUCCGUAUAGUUGCUGCCAUCAUCUUUCAGCUUGGUUUUCUCUAGGAACGCGUUGAAGUUGAGGGCAACGUGGGCCAUUUGAUCUACAAGACAUAUUGUAAAGAUUUUAGACUAAAUUCAUGAUAAUUAAGUUCAUCUAAUCAAAUUAUUCAAUGAACUCCCACUCAGAUAGACAUCCCUCUAGUCAUCUAAGUGAAACAUGAUCCGAGUCAACUAGGCCGUGUCCGAUCAUCACGUGAGACGGACUAGUCAAGAUCGGUGAAUAUCUUCAUGUUGAUCGUAUCUUCUAUACGACUCAUGCUCGACCUUUCGGUCUUCCGUGUUCCGAGGCCAUGUCUGUACAUGCUAGGCUCGUCAAGUCAACCUAAUUGUAUUGCGUGUGUUCCGAGGCCAUGUCUGUACAUGCUAGGCUCGUCAACACCCGUUGUAUGUGAAUGUUAGAAUCUAUCACACCCGAUCAUCACGUGGUGCUUCGAAACAACGAACCUUCGCAACGGUGCACAGUUAGGGGGAACACUUUCUUGAAAUUAUUAUAAGGGAUCAUCUUACUUACUACCGUCGUACUAAGCAAAUAAGAUGUAAAACAUGAUAAACAUCACAUGCAAUCAAAUAGUGACAUGAUAUGGCCAAUAUCAUUUUGCUCCUUUGAUCUCCAUCUUCGGGGCGCCAUGAUCAUCUUCGUCACCGGCAUGACACCAUGAUCUCCAUCAUCAUGUCUUCAUGAAGUUGUCACGCCAACGAUUACUUCUACUUCUAUGGCUAACGCGUUUAGCAAUAAAGUAAAGUAAUUUACAUGGCGUUAUUCAAUGACACGCAGGUCAUACAAAAAAUAAAGACAACUCCUAUGGCUCCUGCUGGUUGUCAUACUCAUCGACAUGCAAGUCGUGAUUCCUAUUACAAGAAUAUGAUCAAUCUCAUACAUCACAUAUAUCAUUCAUCACAUCUUCUGGCCAUAUCACAUCACAAGGCACAUGCUGCAAAAACAAGUUAGACGUCCUCUAAUUGUUGUUGCAAGUUUUUACGUGGCUUCUAUAGGUUUCUAGCAAGAACGUUUCUUACCUACGUAAAACCACAACGUGAUAUGCCAAUUUCUAUUUACCCUUCAUAAGGACCCUUUUCAUCGAAUCCGUUCCGACUAAAGUGGGAGAGACAGACACCCGCUAGCCACCUUAUGCAACUAGUGCAUGUCAGUCGGUGGAACCUGUCUCACGUAAGCAUACGUGUAAGGUCGGUCCGGGCCGCUUCAUCCCACAAUACCGCCGAAACAAGAUAAGACUAGUAGUGGCAAGAAAAAUUGACAACAUCUACGCCCACAACUGCUUUGUGUUCUACUCAUGCAUAGAAACUACGCAUAGGCCUGGCUCUGAUACCACUGUAGGGGAUCGUAGCAGAACUUUAAAAUUUUCUACGCAUCACCAAGAUCCAUCUAUGGAGUUUACUAGCAACGAGAAGGAAGGAGUGCAUCUACAUACCCUUGUAGAUCACGAGCGGAAGCGUUCAAGUGAACGGGGUUGAUGGAGUCGUACUCGUCGUGAUCCAAAUCACCGAUGACCGGGCGCCGAACGGACGGCACCUCCGCGUUCAACACACGUACGGAGCAGCGACGUCUCCUCCUUCUUGAUCCAGCAAGGGGGAAGGAGAGGUUAAUGGAGAUCCAGCAGCACGACGACGUGGUGGUGGAAGUAGCGGGGAUCCCGGCAGGGCUUCGCCAAGCGCAAGCGGGAGGGAGGCGCCAGGGGCUAGGUUACUGCUGCCCUCCCUCCCCCCACUAUAUAUAGGGGUCCUGGGGGGCGCCGGCCCCCUGGAGAUCCCAUCUGAGGGGGGCGGCGGCCAAGGGGGUGGCUUGCCCCCCAAGCCAAGUGGGGCGCCCCCCACCCCUAGGGUUUCCAACCCUAGGCGCAGGGGAGGCCCAAGGGGGGCGCACCAGCCCACCAGUGGCUGGUUCCCCUCCCCACUUCAGCCCAUGGGGCCCUCCGGGACAGGUGGCCCCACCCCGUGGACCCCGGGACCCUUCCGGUGGUCCCGGUACAAUACCGAUAACCCCCAAAACUUUCCCGAUGGCCGAAACUGGACUUCCUAUAUAUAAUUCUUCACCUCCGGACCAUUCCGGAACUCCUCGUGACGUCCGGGAUCUCAUCCGGGACUCCGAACAACUUUCGGGUUUCCGCAUACUAAUAUCUCUACAACCCUAGCGUCACCGAACCUUAAGUGUGUAGACCCUACGGGUUCGGGAGACAUGCAGACAUGACCGAGACGACUCUCCGGUCAAUAACCAACAGCGGGAUCUGGAUACCCAUGUUGGCUCCCAUAUGUUCCACGAUGAUCUCAUCGGAUGAACCACGAUGUCGAGGAUUCAAUCAAUCCCGUAUACAAUUCCCUUUGUCAAUCGGUACGUUACUUGCCCGAGAUUCGAUCGUCGGUAUCCCAAUACCUCGUUCAAUCUCGUUACCGGCAAGUCACUUUACUCGUACCGUAAUGCAUGAUCCCGUGACCAGACACUUGGUCACAUUGAGCUCAUUAUGAUGAUGCAUUACCGAGUGGGCCCAGAGAUACCUCUCCAUCAUACGGAGUGACAAAUCCCAGUCUCGAUCCGUGCCAACCCAACAGACACUUUCGGAGAUACCCGUAGUGCACCUUUAUAGUCACCCAGUUACAUUGUGACGUUUGGUACACCGAAAGCACUCCUACAGUAUCCGGGAGUUGCACGAUCUCAUGGUCUAAGGAAAUGAUACUUGACAUUGGAAAAGCUCUAGCAAACGAACUACACGAUCUUUGUGCUAUGCUUAGGAUUGGGUCUUGUCCAUCACAUCAUUCUCCUAAUGAUGUGAUCCCGUUAUCAAUGACAUCCAAUGUCCAUAGUCAGGAAACCAUGACUAUCUGUUGAUCAACGAGCUAGUCAACUAGAGGCUCACUAGGGACAUGUUGUGGUCUAUGUAUUCACACAUGUAUUACGAUUUCCGGAUAACACAAUUAUAGCAUGAACAAUAGACAAUUAUCAUGAAUAAGGAAAUAUAAUAAUAACCAUUUUAUUAUUGCCUCUAGGGCAUAUUUCCAACAGUCAGGGCACUCCGCCUCCUCCUUCGGCAAGUGAUCAGGGCACUCAACCUCCUUCUCCGGUGCGUGGCGGCACUCCGCCUGCGCCGACGCGCCCGAGCAGCCAGCCUCCUCCUUCUCCGCCUCGUCGGCAAGGGUGGAAGAGACCCGCCCCCGCUCCGGCUGCUCCGGCGCGUCGUAGUCCUUCUCCUCCGCCUCGUAAGCAAGGAAAGAAGACAGCCGCAGCCGCUCUGUCUGCUCCGGCGUCUAGCAGUACAGCCAGAGGCAGGAGGCAAUACAGAUUUGGUCCAUCUCUCAAGCCUCUAGAGAAGUUACCAUAAGAGAUGACCGUGGAGGAAAGCAAGAAGAUCGUGGAAGCCGAAGUGAGGGACUACUUUCAAGCGGUGAAAGCAAAGAAACAUCCACCUCCGGAGGAGAAGAUAGAUCCGGUGAAAGCGAAGCGUACUAUCGAUGCCUUGAAGUGAGCACCACCUUCUCCGCCGCAAUCCAACUAUGAUCGCAUUAUUCAAAGGUCAUAUAUCGAAGCGGAGCGGUCGGGAAGUACUAUCAGUGAUCAAAGGUUAGCAGAACGAUGAGCUAGGAAAAAAAUUGCCCAGCUCGGCGAACAAGCGAACCAAUCGUGCCCCCCGCUCAAGGUGUCUAGCGAUAUCGUCGCUAAUCAUCCGAAGAUUUUGCCCAAUACCAAUCUUGGAGAUUACCUGCCCGACGAUGUACAUUAUGAUUUCUUGGAGGUGGACGAACACAAAUACCAUUACAGGAAGCCUCUCGUCAAAGAUGAAAGAUCUCUAACAACGAUGAUGUGAAGAUUCGAUGAUUGGUACAUGAAAACCUGUAGAGAGUCUGGGGGGAUGAAUACUUUGACGCUGAGAGUUAAAGAGGAGCAUGACCUCGUUGGAAUUGAUCUGUUGUCCGUUCCAUUUGAGGAGUUCUUCCAGUUUUCAAUCAAAAGGCCCUCGAUAAAUUAACGGUCACUUGCUACUGUCUGUAAGUACUACUUCUGUCAUUAAGUCUCUAUAUAUAGCUCAGCUCUUUCAUUGCAUGUAUAUAUAAUUACCCUCACUAUAUUAUGCAGAUUGAAAAUCGCCGAAUUGAAGAAAAGACAAAUCGGUAAUAUUGAGUUCAUUAACACAAAUCUCAUAGAUCAAUUUACGGUUGAAUUUCAAGCCAAAGAUACCGAGGCCAACUUGCUACGAUCGUUGGUAAUAAAUCAAAACAAAGAUAUAAUACUCUUUCCUUACAACUUCAAGUGAGUGUUACUGUCUUGUGCAUAUUCGGUUUUCCUUAUUAGUCGAGGUUAUAGUAAUGUAAUUGAUGAGUUAUGCAUGCGUGCGCAGGUUCCACUAUAUUCUCCUAGAGAUUAAGCUUGAGCAGGGACUAGUAACCGUCUUAGACUCGAGAUGAAAAGAUCCCCAGGAGUAUGCGGACAUGACUGAAAUGCUCGAGAAGUAAGUUAAAUCGAUCAUUAUCGCACCAUAUCGGCAACUUUGUUCACUUCCUGAUAUCAAGUAAUUGUUUUCUUUGUCUGGCAGAGUUUGGAAAAAAUUCACCGCAAAAGCUCCGGGAUUGCCGGUGAAGCUGCGAUUUAGACACCCGAAAGUAAGUACUACUAGCUAGUUCCGCGCAUCUCCUAGUGAUUCAAGCGCUAGUUUCAUCAAUACCAUUUAGCAUGCUUGCUUAUCAGUUUGAUUGACCUCUAUUUCUUGUAAAGUGGUUGUGGAGGGAAGCUGGGAAUAAUUACUGUGGAUACUACGUUUGCGAGUCCAUCCGCCACACGACCUGUGAGCGGGGCUACUCUAAAAAACAAUAUGAAGUGCGUAAGCAAUAAUAUUCACAAUUUUAUUUUAUUACCAUCAUUUGUGUUGAGUUUCAUUAAUUCAUAUAUAUGUAUUGACCCCCUUCUUCAAGUUAAUAGAUGUUUCAGAUGCGGGAUGAACUCCUAGCACCAGAUCGCAUGCGAGCAAUUCAAGAGGAAUUGGCGGCAUUCUUUCUUGACCACGUGAUCAAUAAAGACGGAGAAUACCAUGUGGACCCUGAGUUCCUAUAUAAUUAGGGGAUUAUAUUGUAAGAGAUCUUAUAUUGUAUAUAUGUAGCUAGUAGCGUCGGAUAGAUAUAGGAAAACUUGUUGUUCGACCAAUCUCUCGGAGAAGGAGAGGUCGAUAUCACUUCUCUCUGUAUGCAUAUGUUCAUGACGAUAUUCUGUACUUAACGGUUUCCUUCAUUUGCUUACUAGCUAGCGUGUCGAGUCAUCUCUAUACGUAUAGUACGUAGCAUCGACCAAGCACGGAGAUACGAGAGGACACUUCUCUCUAUUAAUUAGCUAGCUAACACAAUAUAUGAAACACCUAAAUUAACCCCCCAAAACCCCCUAAACCCACCCCCUUUCAAAAAAAAACCUCAGCUCCUGCCAGCUGCUGACGCGUGGAUGCCUUUUGGCCUAGUUGGUGCUACCGACCGGGACCAAAGGCCCUCCUCCUGCCUGGGCUCACCGCAGAGGCCACGUGGAGGCCCAUUUGUCCCGGUUGGUGUAAGAACCGGGACUAAAGGUAUAAGGCUUUAGUACCGAACCUUUAGUCCCGGUUCCCCAACCGGGACAAAUGGGCCUUACGAACCGGGACAAAUGGCCCUUUUUCUACUAGUGAUCCUGUGAGAGUAAUAGCCAACUUUAUUAUAUGAGUGAAUAUAUAUGAUGUCUUUAGAUGACAUCGCAAAUAUCAUUUUGAGUAUUAUUAGUCAUAGUCAUGCUCUUACAAAUCCUCGGGGCAGAGAGAAAGCAGAUGAUAGCAAUGUUAUCUGCAAGAGUUUUUCUUGGUUUCCUGUAACCUAUUUGAAUACAAGCAUGCUUGUGUUUGAAUUAAAUAGAACAUUUAUUUGAUCAACGCCCACGUCCCUUCAUUGUUGCUUAGCAAAUGCCGGUCUUCUGGACGUUCUUCAAUCCCAGCAAAAGCUCAAUGAUCCACCUGUUGAAGAUCGCCCUCCUUGUGACAGUUGAUCUCCCUAAACUUGAGGUUCAGACACAUCUUCUUCGACUCGGUCCAAUCUUGCGGAAGCUUUAAUUUAAGUUGAAAGUAUUAAUGAUCCGUGCAAGCUUAACUGUUAUUUCAAGUUGGAAGUAAGGGGAGAUAUCUAAGUACCUUGCAAUUCUGCAGAGUAAGUUUCUCGAGGUUGGGAGCAUUGUUCAGAAACAACUCUAGCAUGUUGUAUACUUCACCGGUCAAGUCGCACUCGUCCAAGAGCAAUGUAGUCAGGUUAUGAAAUUUUGGCAAAUCUUGAUGUCCUCGCUUCAUCCUAAUCUGAAACAGAGAGGAACUCAGUGUCAUAAAAAAUUGCUUUCUUCCUCCCCGUGUGUCUGUACUGCAUGAAAGAUAAGCCAAGGAAAAAGAGAAGCUCUCGUCGGCCAUAGAACGCACCUUCUCUAGCGCCAGGAAGCCGGAGAGCUCUAAUCUUGUCACGUUAUAGAGAUUGCAGAGAAGCUGGUAUUCGUCGGCCCUGCCGACCCACCGUCUCGUGGAACGGACCGAUGCCUCGACGAGCGACGGCGUCCGGAACACCCAUAUGCCCUGGAACUCGAGGACCAGACGUAGAGAAGUAAGGGCAGGAGCGUCGACGAGCGGGGGAGCACGUUGCUUCAUAUCCCCUCUCCUCCAGCAACGGUCCAUGACCAGCUUCUUCAGCGUGGGACUGGUCACCACCUCCCCAAAACCAAUGGCGCAGCUGGUGAACUCGACGUGCUCCAGCUGAGGGCACACGGAGUCGCCGAGGCCGCCGCUGUGUAGGAUCCCGGUGAGGCGCGCCGUCUUGAGGCGGCUUAGAUCGGAGCGGAAGCCCAUGAGACGCAGGUCGACGGUUAUGUCGUAACUGCUCUGGAUCUCGAGCGCGGCGGGACGGUAGCGGUCGAGGCAGCCGUGAACCCACUCCAGCCACUUGAUGUGGAGCGGCAGCCUCCUGCGGCUGGCCUGCAGAUGGUCGACGACGUGCAGGCGGAGCGAGUCCAGGUCCAGGGGCAGGCCGUCGCCGCCGUCGCGGCGGUCCAACUCCAGCAGGAGGAGGCUGUCCGCGAAGUCGUCGAACCUUGCCCACUCCUCGAGCUCCACCGAUCUGCUGCUCCUGCCGUCGUGGUCGGUCGACGCUGCUUCGAACUCCCGCUGGUCGAUGUCGAGGGACAGGCACAGAGCACCACGCCAGACGUGGCGCCACCGCCGCGACAGAGCCGUCGUCUGCAAGACCUGCCUGGCUCCCAGGGAGGAGACGAUGCCCUGGAGCAGGCAGUCCGGCAACUUGCUCAGCCUGUCCGGCGCCAUGGCAAGGCAAACCGGCCCCUUGCCCUGGGGAGUUGAUCGGAUCGGCGGACGACGAGGUUUGUUUGUAUCUUCCGAUCCGCACGCUCCACGCGGACAGGACGUUUCUGUUUACAACUUGUCAUUAGGGAUAGGGAAGUGUUAAAAAUCUGGCGUGACAAAUCGAACGCCUUGGACGGCAAAUUAUGUUGUCCUCAGGAUUUGUCAGGCUUGCUGGAGAAAAUUGAUAUCCUCGCGGCAACAUAAUUUGGUGUCACGAAUGUUCGAUUUGCCAUUUACCUAAAAAUCCGACGUUCGAUUUGCAGCGAAAUCUAACAAAAUAAUAUCUCAUAUUAUCCUAUGAAUAAGUCUAGUUUGACUUGUAUUUUCAUUUUGCAUAAAGCAUUGGAUUUAUAUUAAAAACUUAAUUCGACUCAAAUUCGAGGUAUGUAGCAUAAAGGUAUCAACUGUUCGCAUUUGAUUCUAAGACUCGUGCAAUGUAUUCCUAUAUUUGAAUCCAUUGAUGCAUCUUUUAGGAUUUGUCAAAAAUCAGAUACCUGCAAAAUUCAUAGGUGGGCACAAUUAUAAGUAAUAAUUAAUGCUCUAAAUUUUGAAACUUCAAUAUUUUGGAAAAAGAGAUUCAAAAAAUAUUUGAAAUGUUGGAUUCAAAGUUUGCACAAAGUAUGAAAUUCAGUUAAUUUUGAAAUGUAUUUCAGUUAAUUUCAAUAAUAAUUCAAUAUAUAUUUUAUAGAAGUUUCAAAUGCAUUUGUCAUGAUUCAGUAAUAUUUUAAUAUACUUUACAAUAGUUUUGAAAUUCAUUUCAAAAUUUUCAAAUGCUUUUGCGAUGCGUUUGGACCAUGACACGACACUAUUGUAAUACAUUCCGUAAUAGUUUCAAAUGCAUCUGAACAUUUUCGAGUUGAAGCUGCAUUUGAAUCUAUUGCGAAAUGUAUUGAAAUUACUUUAUCAUUACUGAAAUUAAAUGAAAUGCUUUUUAAAUUAACUGAAAAAUUACUUUGUGAAAAAUUGAACUCAGCCAGUUUUUAAGAAUCUAAUUAUAAUAUCGCCUUAAGCAGUAACUAUGGAACCCCAUAAUGGCCUAGCCACUAGCAUGACACAUUAACUAUUACAUUAUUCCAAAAAAUCCAAAAAACUAUUUUCAUUUUAAAAUGUCAUCAAAACUAAUUUUAAGAAAAACUAGGAGUAAGGGUAAAGCCAAAUCACCAGGGAAUAUCACACAACCAAUAUUUUCUUUCUGAUUUUGCAGGUCUCUUUGAUAAUACAAAAAUAUUUAUAUGAAAACAUUGCAUGUACUUUGACUAUGAAUAUUCAUAUAUUUUGAAGAAAAAGUUUCUGCAUGUGGGAAAAAAUGCACGUAUUUUUUAAGAAAAAUUGAAUCGAGUUGUUCACGCAUGUUAGAAUAUAUGUCAAUGUAAUUCUAAAAUUAUUUAUUUAUUUUCUAAAAAAGAACAAUAAAUUUGAAAAAAAACAAAAGCAAAACAGGAAAAAAGACAGCAAACGAAAGGAACACGUUACCGGCCCGGCCCACCAGUGUUUGGGCGGCGUGUCUAAGGCGGCAUAUACUAGGAUUUGCCGCCUACGCUGCUGCUCGGUCUCCGCAGGCCGCAUCCUCUUAGAUAGAGAAGAAAAGGAGAAGAGGAAAGAGCGAGAGGGCUGGAAAGAAGUAAAGGGAGACUGCGCCGAGGAGUAGGAGGAUUCAUGGAGCCCGAGGCCUCCAAGCAGGGGGAGAAGCAGCCGAUGGAGGCGGAGGCCGGAGAUCCAGCAGAUCCCCGCGACCUAGGUAACUUGCCCAAUCCCCCCGUUUUUCCGCUGUAAAUCCCCAAUCCGGCAACCCCACAUCGCUCAAAAGAACCAGGCUCCUGCAAUCUGGUGAGAUGCAGCGCAUGCUCAUGAUGUUCUAACAAGUGCUCUCAAUUAAUUGUACUGAUUUGCCAAAAAAAUUGUUUAAUUUGGUGCAGUGUCCAGCGACGAUGAGAUAGACUACUCCGUGGAGCCCGAGUUCUACGACCCCACCAUAGACGAUGUUGAUGACCGCUGGGCGCACAAGCAGAGGAAAGGACGGACUUCUGACGCCGUGCUCAGCUGCCCCGCGUGUUUCACUACCUUGUGCCUCGAUUCCCAGAGGUAAUCCACUUGAUGCUUCACAUUGGGUCUCGUCUCAGAGACUACAGGGGGGUCUUGGACUAUAAGAUGCCUUUACAUGGUUUUGACUUUUAUCAUGGUUCAAAGAAACUAUAAGGCUUUGCAGCGAUACUUUUUCCUAAUGGUAAAGGUUGCAUUUUUUACGAAAAUACUAACGCCCACCCGCGUGACAAUCUUGCAUCUCGCCCACACGCAUGGAUCAACGUCCGUUUAUGUUUGCAUGAAUCUUGGCAUGCUUUGCCAGAUUUUUUAUGCCACGUAGGACUGGGCUGGUGUGUGGGCAUUCAUCCGGUCGCCCACACGUCCGUUUUCACCACGCGGAGGGGCUGGUGUGUGGGCGUUUAGCAGUUCGCCCACACGCCAGUUUUCACGCACGCAGAGGGGCUGGUGUGUGGGCGUUUAUCAGUUCGCCCACACGUCCGUCUCCUCUCCCACACCCAAAGCUGUCAGUUGCCAUGUGUUUUGCAGGUUACAUGCCAACUGCCCUAGUGUGCUUGUAAGCAGAUGACAACUCUCUCUUUACCCGAACAUGUUAUUUUGCCAUGUCUUUUUUGUAGUGCUACAUGGCAACUGCCUAGUGUUAGUAGGUGACAACUCCUAAAGUUUUCAAAUCAUGGCAACUAUAGUAGACCAGACCAUACAUGGCAACAGCUGCAGUUGUCCAAAAAUGGCAUCUGGCACUUGACCUGAGAUGGCAACCGCAGUUGAGCAACCAUGACAACUGUAGUUGUCAGACAUGGCAACUGUAGUUCAACAACAUGGCAACUGUAGUUGUCAGACAUGGCAACUGUAGUUCAACAACAUGGCAGCUGCAGUUAAACGAACAUGGAAGAGGGUCCGGACCAUGGCAACUGUGGGGACGCGUGGUGACUGUCACGCGGGGCGUGCGGGACCUUGAGGUAGGAGGCCGGACGUACGGGCGUGUGGGCGUUAUCUAUUUUGCCCACACGUAGGUGUGUAGGAGGGACCGCGAGGCAGAAGACCGGGCGUGUGGGCAUUACUUGUUUUGCCCACACGUAGACGUGUGGACUGGUUCUCUUAGAUACCACACGAAACGUGUGUCCAGACCCCUUAACGCCCACACGUGUGGGCGUUAUCGGGACCCUUUUUUUAAAGGUGAAGACGGAGCAAGUUAUAUCUCAAUAUCUGUUAGAAGUACUAUCCCUUGUGAUUGUGCUGUGACUGCCUCUGUCAACAUUUAUAGGAUAAUGGCCUUGAUUUGAUAAAUUCAUGGAGAAGUUUAAGUGAUACUGAUUCUAUAAUCAUGUUUAGCAAAAUUGGCGUGUGUUAAUACCUUCAGGAAUAUAUGUGAGUAAGUAUUUUUCAGAGCCUCCCGCAUCUCUGCGUCAUACUGAUCAAGUAGCUGUAAGAAAUAAUGAAAUCUUGGCAUGGUUUAUUUGUCUGGGAUAAAUGUGUACAGCUCAUUGUUCCUACACAUUUCAUUUCUUAAUUUGGUUUUGCUUAUGUGAGAGGUAACCACUGUUUUAAACUAGCAUGGGGAAUCUAUCUUUGUAAGCUUAUUCUGUUUNNNNNNNNNNNNNNNNNNNNNNNNNNNNNNNNNNNNNNNNNNNNNNNNNNNNNNNNNNNNNNNNNNNNNNNNNNNNNNNNNNNNNNNNNNNNNNNNNNNNNNNNNNNNNNNNNNNNNNNNNNNNNNNNNNNNNNNNNNNNNNNNNNNNNNNNNNNNNNNNNNNNNNNNNNNNNNNNNNNNNNNNNNNNNNNNNNNNNNNNNNNNNNNNNNNNNNNNNNNNNNNNNNNNNNNNNNNNNNNNNNNNNNNNNNNNNNNNNNNNNNNNNNNNNNNNNNNNNNNNNNNACACCGUAAGCUUAUUCUGUGAUGAAAUGUUAACUGCAUCAUUCUUAAUUGUGCCUGUUCAUUUCCUCAGCUAUGAAUAUGAAAAUGUACAAUUUGUUUUUACUGAACUCUUAAUCUGGUUUGUUUGAAAAUGAAUGAGAAUCCCACAAGUGCAAUAUUCUGGAGGCCUAAUUUAGUACAAUUUGUUUGGUGUGUGUUGUGAAGUCUGAAACAUGAAAAUAUCUGAUUAAUUGUUGUAUGUUGUGAAGUCUGUGAUAUGAUUAUCUCUAUAAACAUUACGAUGUUGUUUUGCUUUGCACAAUGCUCGUAAAUAGCUUGCUUUGCACAAGAUAACACAACUAACCGUGAUAUAUACAUUUUGGCCUCCCGGCUCAGAUAUGUGCUGUGUUGUACCGAGUCCAGCAUGGUUACGUUCUUAGAGCAAGUCCUCUUGCCACCCAUCAUGUAAUUGUCUGUUUCCCAUGCCUUGUACACUUACACUAUAUCCCCGCAGAAAAAAAAAACAUGUACACCAGAUAAAGUUGUCACUGUACUGCACGGCUCCUUGAGGAUUCAAUCGAAGCUUUCACUUCAGAACCCUGAAUGCUUUAAAUAUUCUCAAUUAUCUGUCUUUCUGAUUGUUCACCUUUAUAUUGGUACUGCUGACAAUAGAUUUUACAAUGCUUAAAUUGGUAUUUUAUACGAACACCAAUACUAAAAUUGUGGAUGGUUUUGUCUGAUGUUCAGGCACGAAAAGUAUGUAAACCAGUACCGUGCAAUGUUUGUGUGCAACUGCAAGGUCAAGACUGAUCAGAUUCUACGUGAGGGGAAAGGAAAAAGGAAGAAUCGGAAAGUAACGGCUGUUGAUUCUACUACACCAGAAGUUGCAAGCAAGGGGCCAGUUUAUCACCCUGUUUGUUGUGAGAUCUGCUCAACUGAGGUUGGAGUGUUUGAUGAAGAUGAAGUUUACCACUUCUUUAAUGUCAUUCCUAGUAACUCAUGAACCUUCUGAUGUUGUGAGAAUAGUUCUCGUAGUGCUGUUUUUUGUCAAUCUAGAGCUGAUGUGGUAGUAUGUGAAUUAUUUUUUCUUUUCAUGAUAUCAAGACAAAGUUAAACCUGCCGUCCUUCAUGGAAAUUAUAUUCUGGCAUCAUGGAUUUGGAUUAUCUGAAAUAAUAGAAUUUUCAGAGGGGAAGAAACAUCCUUGCAAAAAUGGAAGCAAGUGGAUAAACAUGAAUUGCAUAUGGUAGCU
This 19895-nucleotide long non-coding RNA is filed under the name Triticum aestivum (bread wheat). RNAcentral describes it as "long non-coding RNA (TAES_LNC013461)". The record is from RNAcentral. Lineage: Eukaryota; Viridiplantae; Streptophyta; Magnoliopsida; Poales; Poaceae.